RNAcentral lists this transfer RNA (72 nucleotides) under Alligator mississippiensis (American alligator). It matches the Rfam family "tRNA". From Rfam's summary of the family: Transfer RNA (tRNA) molecules are approximately 80 nucleotides in length. Their secondary structure includes four short double-helical elements and three loops (D, anti-codon, and T loops). Further hydrogen bonds mediate the characteristic L-shaped molecular structure. tRNAs have two regions of fundamental functional importance: the anti-codon, which is responsible for specific mRNA codon recognition, and the 3' end, to which the tRNAs corresponding amino acid is attached (by aminoacyl-tRNA synthetases). tRNAs cope with the degeneracy of the genetic code in two manners: having more than one tRNA (with a specific anti-codon) for a particular amino acid; and 'wobble' base-pairing, i.e. permitting non-standard base-pairing at the 3rd anti-codon position. The record is from Rfam by way of RNAcentral. Lineage: Eukaryota; Metazoa; Chordata; Crocodylia; Alligatoridae.
GGGGAUGUAGCUCAGUGGUAGACUGCAUGCUUUGCAUGUGUGAGGACUUGGGUUCAGGUCCCAUCUUCUCCA